This is an RNA transcript of Pyrus x bretschneideri (Chinese white pear), 1772 nucleotides long. RefSeq lists it as uncharacterized. The transcript has 2 exons. Lineage: Eukaryota; Viridiplantae; Streptophyta; Magnoliopsida; Rosales; Rosaceae. The record is from RefSeq and is a predicted model, not a curated record.
AGUAGUAGACAUUUAGUAAUAUGGUCUAAUAGCAUUCUUUUUCACUUAUAAUUAAUAAGUCUUAGGUUCAAAUCUUGGAAACGAAGAGUUCGCAACCAAUUUAUACUCGCACCGCCAUAAUGUAAAUAUAUCGUUGUAUCAAAUAAAAAAGUUUAGAGUAAUAAUAUUUGAGUUAAAUUGUAGCAUUAGUCAGUUUGAUUUUCGUUCCUGAACUCUAAUAAUAGUUGCUAAUGUUCUCGAUUUAUGUCAUGUAUUGCACUUAUGAUAUUUCUGUUGACUGUAAGUUGAGGUAUAAAGUAAGAAUUUUAUCAAAACAAAUGAGAAAAUUUUUAAAUAAGAAUUGUUUUUCAUAUGGAAAAAAAAAAAAAAAAAAAGUCAAUUCAACUAUAAACAAUAAGACUUUAUGUAUAUAUAAAAAAUAAAAAAUAAAAAAAUAAAAAAAAGGCAUCUAUAUAGUUCAACAAAAAAGCUUAAGGUCAAUACAUAAAAAGCCCAAACCCAUUUUUCAAAAUUUUCAUUAAUUUAAAAAAUACCUUUACUUAAUCAAAACUAACAGCAUAAACAUGAUGUUUGAAAAAUUAAAUUAUAUUAGAUAAAGAAACAAAUUUUUAAUUAAAAAAAAUGUAAAGAAUUUAGGAGGGCAUGUGUAAAAAUUUUAAUCAUAUUAGAUUUUUGAUUUUGUCUCAUUUUUUUUAUGAAAAAAAAUGUGUAUGCAGAAUGUGUCUGCAAAAAUACCAAACAAAACCAACUUGUCUCAUUUUAAAUAAUUUUUAGAAUCGUAUUUUAUUUAAGGGUAAAUCUUAGUUUACUACCAUCAAGUUUCGUGGUUUUCAACAUUUGGUACAUAAAGUUUUUUUCGUCCCAGAGUCAUACUUAAAGUGUUAAUUUUCGGACAAUCUCAUACAUCUGUUUGGCUGUUAAGUCCCCCGUUAACAAAUGGUGUGGGGCGCCAUAUGGACAAUGACUAGGUGCUAUGUGCCAUUAAAGGGUCAAUGUGGAAAUUCAAAAUUCAAAAAAAAAAAAAAAAACCCACCCAUCUUCUACAUGCCCCCAACCCUCUCCCUCCCUUCUUUCCUCUACAACCCGUACCCUCCCUUCUCCCUUCUCUCCUUUACAACCCUCAUCUCACCGCCGCAGUGGUGGUGACCAAUUUGCAGAACAAGUCGAAAAUGUGCUUUAUGGCGAUCCAGCUCCGCCUCCCCUCCAGCCGCCCACAGGGGAUUCUAAACAUUGGGCUCGGCCUCCUAGAUAGCACAAUGCGGAGCAUGCCUGCUCUACAUCGAGCUCAACUCCUCCACCAUCGGGUACUAGGAUCUGAUGGAGGGAAAAACCAACAACCACCAAAAAUCGGACAUGGCUGCUUCUUCGAGUUCAUCUGCAGUUUGACAGUAUGCCUACAUCAACUUUGUCUUUAGGGAUUAUACAUCUGUAUCUUGUGUUACCAAGUGCUUUGGUUCUUUACUAGCUGAAUAUGCCUACAAAGACAUUUAUUGGGCAAUCGUGUUGUGUGCAUGCGUAAAGAUUGCCUGCUCUACUGGGCAUUGAUUUGGGGCACAAUGAUCAAGGAAACAACACUCUUUGGCUUUCUGAUUUGGACGCAACUAAAUUUCUAAAAUCUCAACAAUAUUCGCAAAUUCGUAGGAAAUAAUCAUUUUGUGUUGUCUGCACUAAAAUAGCAUCUCUUAGAAAAAUUGGAAUCACGGACUGUAAAAUUAUCUAUAAACUGGACAUCCAGAUCUUUCCAAGCAUAUAAGGCUCAAUAUUUGGUUCAU